UCGGUGACACACUCUUGGUGGCCAAACCAC
Molecule: non-coding RNA, 30 nt
Filed under: Homo sapiens (human)
Lineage: Eukaryota; Metazoa; Chordata; Mammalia; Primates; Hominidae
Source: RNAcentral